GUGGACAAUAUUACACUAUUUUUAAGUGUUAUUGUGUAAUUGAAUUCACAUCCAUGGUGCCUCAACAUCAUUUGGAUAGCUAUAUAUCUGCAAGUUAUUCUUUUUGUACAUGCUUAUCUUCUUCAUAUGUAUUGUUCCUAUAUUAUUUAUGCAAAAUUGUAUACUACUUUUCUUUGAAUUAUACCUCCUUAGAUUGCCAUGAAGAAAUAGUAUAUUAUAUUUUCUUUGAUUUUAUUGUUGCUAAUAAAAAGCCUUUUAGAUAGGUGAAUGUAGACCUCACAUUAACUAUAUUAUCGCACCUUCUGAAGUUUCUAACUGUUUGUACAUGGCCCCAGUCUUCAAAUGAUAAUGACGACCAAUUGACCAUAGGUUGAGAUAUUGGUUCUACCAUUCAGGCAUUCAACCUUCAACAUAUCGGACAUGUGUUGUGUUGCUGUCUCAUGUCCUGAGAUGGACCAGCAAAACAAUCUCCAUGUUUACAUUACUAACGCAUGAGCACGUCCGAAAAUGAGUGUUCCUUAGGGCAAUCUGGCAUAUGAGAUGGGAAGCAAGCCACACGGCAAUUUCUGCAGGAGUUCAUGAACUCGGGGUCCUAAGUAAUCAUAGGAGGAGUCACGGGUUAUGACGAGCUACAGGUCCACUUCAUAGAUGGAUUCAGCGAAUAUAAAUGCAGCUGUGCGGAAGACCUGACGAUAGCGUGUCUGCUCGGACACUUUGAUUUGGAACGACCAAGACUGAAUGUGUAACUGAUUUAUAUAUUUUAGAAAAAAUUGUUUUACCAUGUAGACAAAUUCUUUAAGCUAUAUAGAUUAACAUUAUAUGGGAUCCCUCUAUCAAUUAGAAUCACUUGACGGGCGCGGCGUGGCGCCGCGCCAAUGCUUCCUAGUUGAUCUGCAUGGACUGAUAAUUUUUCUAUCUCAAACAUGACAAUGCCAUCUAUUCUUAAAGAGGACAUCUAGAAGAAAACAUCUUCAGCAAUGGGGUUUUCUGCACAUGUAUUUUUCAGCAGCAAUGCUGCAGUGCUGGAGGCACUCAACUCAAAAUGGCAGGGUAGAAGGAAUAUGUGGAGUACGCUGAGGGACGGGCAGCUGGCUUUUAUAUGCGGUUGACAGUUUCGACGAUGAUUCAUAUGAUGCCCUUUUAUAUGUACGACGAGGUAAGGUAUUGCCUUGGGAAUUGUUUAGUGUUUUUUAGAUCCUUGGGCUUGUAUUGCUCUGUAGUAGGUCUUUUAGAAAUCUUUCAUUCACCUUCCGUUUUUUCUGAUAUUGGUUACUCUUCAAAUAAAGAAAUUGCUACUUUAAAACUUUAGCUGUCCUAAUGAGUAAAUCCUAAUAAGUGUCACAAAUACAUGGUUGUGAUAAUUGUCUUCCGUAACUGUUCUGACAAUAGAUCCACCCCCACAGCGGAGAGGAUCUAAGUUUCCCGUAAUAUUAUAAAGGCUAGGCUCAGAUAAUGUAUUACUUUUUAGUUCAUUUUUGGUGAUCAGUCUUUCGUGUUCAAUAAUAGUACUCCCGACCUUCGGUAUGUAAGAAAAAUCCUUUUUUUCUAUGUCUGUCAAAUGACUCGAUGUUUGAAAUUUCAUGUUUCAUAUGAGAUUGUUAAAUUGCAUAUAACCGUUAUAGACCUUUUUUAGCCAAUGAGAGCUAUUUGAAGCACAUAAUCAAAUUGAGCCAACAACAACAACUGUAAGCAUGACGCGACUUCACGCGCUUUUAAUUGGUUUUCCGUAUCUAUGAAAGUGUUGUCCACAUGAUCCACUUAAAUAUAUCCAACUUUCUAAUAUAUGCCUUUUGUCAAAAGCCAAUCUUUACUAUUCUGCAUUUUGUUCUACGGUUGUUUCUUCCUUUGUGAAAUCCAGAAUUAUUAUCAGAGAUGUUUUUUGGGGUAAUUCUUUUUGUUGAUGUUCUUGGUGCAGAGCAUUGGGUUAGAGAGUAGCUGGAGCAGGAAUGUAACGAGGCAGCAUCCUUUCAAUUUGUGGACCUCAGAAAAUAGGAAGGAGGAAGGAAAUUUUGGGAGAGAGGAUGCUGCUGCUGGAGGAGAGACUGCGCAAGCCGCCCACGCAAGUUAUUCCGUGGACCACCGAUAAAUAGGAGAAUGCAUGGCAAGGGGACCGCUCUGGCAGACAUGCAUCUCCAGUGACUCCAGGACCUCCCAAAUGCUUUUCUACCUCUUGCGAAAUCUUUCUUUGCUGCAAAUAUUGGCACUGUCCUCCCCAUUUUCCAGGCAUAGCUCUAGGCCAAUGCUCCUAUAUUCUAUACAUAAACUUUUAUCUCAAAGUUUUGAUCUGAGCAACCUUGACUGACCAAAACAGAUGAAUGGCUGGUUUCACAUUAUUUAAUCGUCUAGAUCAUUUUCAAGCAUUAUUGGUUAUGAACUAACUUGCUCGUGAGAAGAGCCUUACAAGGAGAGAGAGGAAAACAGGUUACACACACAAACAACGGACAUGUUCAGGCUGGUACCUUUCGAUGUGCAUCAUAAUUUCAUUUAUGGAGCUCUUACUGCCAGUGUUAUUUAAGAUGUUCCCAAACAUGUAGACAUCUACUACUAUCCAGUAUCCAGAACGAGAUGAAAGAAGAGAUGAAAGAAGAGGUAAUAACCUAUCCCUUAUUGGCCAGCCAGGAAUAUUAAUAAAUCUCAUAUAUGCUCAAAGUGAUGCAUUACAUCGCACACCAGCUGAGCUCGCCGUUUUCUUCCACGCGCGGCUCAUCGAGUGUACACCUCACUCAUCAUUGGAUUCUUUAAAGCUACAAAUAUCUGUAAUGCCUUGAAGGCUAUUGAACUUUGUUGUAAAUAUAUUCUAGAAAUUCGAUUGGAUUUGUGUCCGCUAAAUAAAUCAAAAUGUGCACCUGAUGCUGAUUUGGAGACAAAUACAGGGGCACACGAAGAGGCUACUAAUAUUAUAUGAGUAUGCCUUUAAAAGGAAAUGUGAGAACUUCUUUUCUGAUGCAUUGUCCGACACUGCUUAUUGUAUUUUUCAAUGGUUUAUCCUUUGCCCCAUCAAUUUCCAGAAUAUAUCACUUGAGCUUGCUGCCAGUGCUGCUAAAUUCAACAUGCCGGCAUAAUUUAUCACGGCAUUUCAAGUUAAGAUGUUGACAAUGCUUAAGAAAACAACCACUGUAUCACCACCAAUAUGUUAAAAUACAAUAAAAGUAGUCUCAGAUACCCUUUAUUAUGAGGAGUAGCAUACCUUUUUUUAGUGGCGUUUCUAAGAAUUUGAGUGCAUUCUUCAAAUAUAAUCAUUUCUUUGUGCUAACAUCCUGCUUUCAUUUUAUAUCUUGAUGUACAGAUAUGCUGUGUUCUACUUGACCACAGUUUAAAGUUUUCUUUAUUCCACAAUAUCUCUGGCUAUGUUGUGAAUGAACAACCAGAUGGACUGUGUUGUACCUUCUGUAAAGUCAUCUGCCACAAUGGAUGAACGCAUGGCUUUCAGUUGCACUUACCAUUGCAGAUGACACUGAGAAGGUCUUUGCACGGUAUGUCAGGCAAACUACUGUAGAAUUCCUUCAAUAUGCCCCGUAUCCGCACACUACUGCCUCAGUACCAAGUGUAAUGCCACAUCAGGCUUUGGUAAGUUAGCGUAAGAGUUGGCACGUCCAGCAUCAGGCUAUUGUAGUUUCUUUGGCCAAUUAGAAUGGGAACAGAGACCAGAAACUAAAAUACUACAUUGUUUGUUUUCCAUCAUGUAGUCUUCCUUUUGUGUGAGAUUUUGCAAAUUGGAAGUAGUAUUCGUGCCGAUUCCUGGCAUUGUGCAAA
Molecule: non-coding RNA, 3753 nt
Organism: Lolium perenne
Lineage: Eukaryota; Viridiplantae; Streptophyta; Magnoliopsida; Poales; Poaceae
Source: RefSeq, a predicted model, not a curated record